AAAUUGAAGAGUUUGAUCAUGGCUCAGAUUGAACGCUGGCGGCAGGCCUAACACAUGCAAGUCGAGCGGAAACGAGUUACCUGAACCUUCGGGGAACGAUAGCGGCGUCGAGCGGCGGACGGGUGAGUAAUGCCUAGGAAAUUGCCCUGAUGUGGGGGAUAACCAUUGGAAACGAUGGCUAAUACCGCAUGAUGCCUACGGGCCAAAGAGGGGGACCUUCGGGCCUCUCGCGUCAGGAUAUGCCUAGGUGGGAUUAGCUAGUUGGUGAUGUAAGGGCUCACCAAGGCGACGAUCCCUAGCUGGUCUGAGAGGAUGAUCAGCCACACUGGAACUGAGACACGGUCCAGACUCCUACGGGAGGCAGCAGUGGGGAAUAUUGCACAAUGGGCGCAAGCCUGAUGCAGCCAUGCCGCGUGUGUGAAGAAGGCCUUCGGGUUGUAAAGCACUUUCAGUCGUGAGGAAGG
Molecule: ribosomal RNA, 464 nt
Filed under: Vibrio parahaemolyticus
Lineage: Bacteria; Pseudomonadati; Pseudomonadota; Gammaproteobacteria; Vibrionales; Vibrionaceae
Description: bacterial SSU rRNA
Rfam family: Bacterial small subunit ribosomal RNA
Source: RNAcentral